CUCAGCAAAUGCUGAGGAUAUCUCGCUGGGGCCUCCAAAUGUUACGGUGCCCGCGAGUUAAUUUCGAGACAGCCAAAUAGAAUUUGAAAGAGCCUUUAUUAG
Molecule: microRNA precursor, 102 nt
Filed under: Choloepus hoffmanni (Hoffmann's two-fingered sloth)
Lineage: Eukaryota; Metazoa; Chordata; Mammalia; Pilosa; Megalonychidae
Description: miRNA (ENSCHOG00000014398.1)
Source: RNAcentral